GAGGCGCCGCCAUUUCUCGGGCUGAACUUCUCCGAUCCCCUACCGUCCCUCCGGAUGCCGGUGGUGGCGGAGGAUGUAAGGAUGUCGGCGGGGAUGAUUGAUCAGACAGUGACGAUGGAUCUGCCGCCGAUGCACGCUGGCGGCGGGAUCGCCGCCCAGAUGGACUGGCCCGGGGCGAUGGAUCAAUCGCUGUUCGACUUCACCGGCGUUGUUGAUCCGGCCGGAGCGUACUGGAACCAUGGCCACUGGGGUGAUACUGAUCCUAAUCUCUAUCUCCCUUGAUGAAUUUCCGCUUAACCCCACUUUGAUUACUUAAAA
This 318-nucleotide unclassified non-coding RNA is filed under the name Hevea brasiliensis (rubber tree). The record is from RNAcentral. Lineage: Eukaryota; Viridiplantae; Streptophyta; Magnoliopsida; Malpighiales; Euphorbiaceae.